Molecule: long non-coding RNA, 521 nt
Organism: Vombatus ursinus (common wombat)
Lineage: Eukaryota; Metazoa; Chordata; Mammalia; Diprotodontia; Vombatidae
Exons: 5
Source: RefSeq, a predicted model, not a curated record
CAAAAACCCUUCCUUUACCUUUUUCCCACCACCCUUGGUCCCAACGCAGACAUCUUGGUAAAGAAAAAGGCCGGUCGAACCACUCAGCUUGUCUCGUCUCGUUGUGGCACACCCAAUUCAUUGAUCUGCUCUUUCUUAAUGAAGAAAGCAUUUAGAGAUAUAAAUUUUCCCUUAAGAACUGCUCUGGCUGCAUCCUACAAAUUCUGAACUGCCUUCGGCCCCCAAAGCAGAGGUCAAAGGGCUGUUCACCUGCUCUUCGAAGCUUGUGACCACUCUCGAUGGCUGCAAAUGCCUCUUCAGCAUAUCGCGGAAGUGGAUGGUACAUUCUUCAAUCUCCCCAAAGACUGAGAACCGGUGUUUCAACUCUGACCGAGUCAUGCAGCCUGGAAUCUUCCCAAUGAAGACCACCCUCCUCUCCUCCUGGAUUCAGCUUAUACUCACACUCACCUCCUUCUCCUAUUGCUCCUCCUACGGGGGGAUGGAGAACGAGACCGGCUCUGAGAACUGGAUGAGGAUGAAGA